RNAcentral lists this ribosomal RNA (506 nucleotides) under uncultured bacterium. Its description in RNAcentral is "partial 16S ribosomal RNA". It matches the Rfam family "Bacterial small subunit ribosomal RNA", at positions 29 to 523 of the family's 1533-position model. The record is from RNAcentral.
AGUGAACGCUGGCGGUAGGCCUAACACAUGCAAGUCGAACGGCAGCACAGAGGAGCUUGCUCCUUGGGUGGCGAGUGGCGGACGGGUGAGGAAUACAUCGGAAUCUACUCUGUCGUGGGGGAUAACGUAGGGAAACUUACGCUAAUACCGCAUACGACCUACGGGUGAAAGCAGGGGAUCUUCGGACCUUGCGCGAUUGAAUGAGCCGAUGUCGGAUUAGCUAGUUGGCGGGGUAAAGGCCCACCAAGGCGACGAUCCGUAGCUGGUCGGGGAGGAUGAUCAGCCAGACUGGAACGGGGACACGGUCCAGACUCCUACGGGAGGCAGCAGUGGGGAAUAUUGGACAAUGGGCGCAAGCCUGAUCCAGCCAUACCGCGUGGGUGAAGAAGGCGUUCGGGUUGUAAAGCCCUUUCGUUGGGAAAGAAAUCCAUCUGGCUAAUACCCGGGUGGGAUGACGGUACCCAAAGAAUAAGCACCGGCUAACUUCGUGCCAGCCGCCGCGGUAA